Molecule: ribosomal RNA, 565 nt
Filed under: uncultured bacterium
Lineage: Bacteria
Description: partial 16S ribosomal RNA
Rfam family: Bacterial small subunit ribosomal RNA
Source: RNAcentral
UGGGGAAUUUUGGACAAUGGGCGAAAGCCUGAUCCAGCAAUGCCGCGUGUGUGAAGAAGGCCUUCGGGUUGUAAAGCACUUUUGUCCGGAAAGAAAUCCUUGGCUCUAAUACAGUCGGGGGAUGACGGUACCGGAAGAAUAAGCACCGGCUAACUACGUGCCAGCAGCCGCGGUAAUACGUAGGGUGCAAGCGUUAAUCGGAAUUACUGGGCGUAAAGCGUGCGCAGGCGGUUUGCUAAGACCGAUGUGAAAUCCCCGGGCUCAACCUGGGAACUGCAUUGGUGACUGGCAGGCUAGAGUAUGGCAGAGGGGGGUAGAAUUCCACGUGUAGCAGUGAAAUGCGUAGAGAUGUGGAGGAAUACCGAUGGCGAAGGCAGCCCCCUGGGCCAAUACUGACGCUCAUGCACGAAAGCGUGGGGAGCAAACAGGAUUAGAUACCCUGGUAGUCCACGCCCUAAACGAUGUCAACUAGUUGUUGGGGAUUCAUUUCCUUAGUAACGUAGCUAACGCGUGAAGUUGACCGCCUGGGGAGUACGGUCGAAGAUUAAAACUUAAAUGAAUUGAC